GACGAACGCUGGCGGCGUGCCUAAUACAUGCAAGUAGAACGCUGAAGAGAGGAGCUUGCUCUUCUUGGAUGAGUUGCGAACGGGUGAGUAACGCGUAGGUAACCUGCCUGGUAGCGGGGGAUAACUAUUGGAAACGAUAGCUAAUACCGCAUAAAAUUGAUUAUUGCAUGAUAAUUAAUUGAAAGAUGCAAUUGCAUCACUACCAGAUGGACCUGCGUUGUAUUAGCUAGUUGGUGAGGUAACGGCUCACCAAGGCGACGAUACAUAGCCGACCUGAGAGGGUGAUCGGCCACACUGGGACUGAGACACGGCCCAGACUCCUACGGGAGGCAGCAGUAGGGAAUCUUCGGCAAUGGGGGGAACCCUGACCGAGCAACGCCGCGUGAGUGAAGAAGGUUUUCGGAUCGUAAGGCUCUGUUGUAAGAGAAGAACGGGUGUGAGAGUGGAAAGUUCACACUGUGACGGUAUCUUACCAGAAAGGGACGGCUAACUACGUGCCAGCAGCCGCGGUAAUACGUAGGUCCCGAGCGUUGUCCGGAUUUAUUGGGCGUAAAGCGAGCGCAGGCGGUUAGAUAAGUCUGAAGUUAAAGGCUGUGGCUUAACCAUAGUAUGCUUUGGAAACUGUUUAACUUGAGUGCAGAAGGGGAGAGUGGAAUUCCAUGUGUAGCGGUGAAAUGCGUAGAUAUAUGGAGGAACACCGGUGGCGAAAGCGGCUCUCUGGUCUGUAACUGACGCUGAGGCUCGAAAGCGUGGGGAGCAAACAGGGUUAGAUACCCUGGUAGUCCACGCCGUAAACGAUGAGUGCUAGGUGUUAGGCCCUUUCCGGGGCUUAGUGCCGCAGCUAACGCAUUAAGCACUCCGCCUGGGGAGUACGACCGCAAGGUUGAAACUCAAAGGAAUUGACGGGGGCCCGCACAAGCGGUGGAGCAUGUGGUUUAAUUCGAAGCAACGCGAAGAACCUUACCAGGUCUUGACAUCCCUCUGACCGCUCUAGAGAUAGAGUUUUCCUUCGGGACAGAGGUGACAGGUGGUGCAUGGUUGUCGUCAGCUCGUGUCGUGAGAUGUUGGGUUAAGUCCCGCAACGAGCGCAACCCCUAUUGUUAGUUGCCAUCAUUCAGUUGGGCACUCUAGCGAGACUGCCGGUAAUAAACCGGAGGAAGGUGGGGAUGACGUCAAAUCAUCAUGCCCCUUAUGACCUGGGCUACACACGUGCUACAAUGGCUGGUACAACGAGUCGCAAGCCGGUGACGGCAAGCUAAUCUCUGAAAGCCAGUCUCAGUUCGGAUUGUAGGCUGCAACUCGCCUACAUGAAGUCGGAAUCGCUAGUAAUCGCGGAUCAGCACGCCGCGGUGAAUACGUUCCCGGGCCU
Molecule: ribosomal RNA, 1369 nt
Filed under: uncultured bacterium
Lineage: Bacteria
Description: bacterial SSU rRNA
Rfam family: Bacterial small subunit ribosomal RNA
Source: RNAcentral